RNAcentral lists this ribosomal RNA (497 nucleotides) under uncultured bacterium. RNAcentral describes it as "partial 16S ribosomal RNA". It matches the Rfam family "Bacterial small subunit ribosomal RNA", at positions 28 to 507 of the family's 1533-position model. The record is from RNAcentral.
GAUGAACGCUGGCGGCGUGCCUAACACAUGCAAGUCGAGCGACAGCACGAGAAGAUCGCUUUCUUGCUGUUAGCGGGGGACGGGUGAGUAAGAAGUGGAUCACAAUCUUCUUAUACUGGGAUGAUUUCGGGAAAACAGUUCUAAUAAUGCCUAAUACUAUCUACCGGAUGGAUCAAAAGUUAUUCACACCUUUCGUGUUUGUAUUAGCUGAAUCCGUGCUGGAUUAGCUAGUUGGUAAGGUAACGGCUUACCAAGGCAACGAUGCAUAGCCGACCUGAGAGGAUGAUCGGCCACACUGGAACUGAGACACGGUCCAGACUCCUACGGGAGGCAGCAGUGGGGAAUCUUGCACAAUGGGCGAAAGCCUGACCGAGCCAUACCGCGUGAGUGAUGAAGGCCUUCGGGUUGUAAAGCUCUGUUGUUGGGGAAGAAAAGAAGUAGAUGAAACCGCGGCCGUCUUGACGGUACCUAAAGAAAAAGCAACGGCUAACUUCGUG